RNAcentral lists this ribosomal RNA (218 nucleotides) under uncultured prokaryote. RNAcentral describes it as "partial 16S ribosomal RNA". It matches the Rfam family "Bacterial small subunit ribosomal RNA", at positions 561 to 774 of the family's 1533-position model. The record is from RNAcentral.
CCCUAUGGGGUGCCGCAGGCGGACUGGUAAGUCAGGGGUGAAAAUCUACGGCUCAACUGUAGACGUGCCUUUGAUACUGCCGGACUAGAGUUAAGAUGGAGUGAGCGGAAUGUGUUGUGUAGCGGUGAAAUGCUUAGAUAUAACAACGAACACCGAUCGCGAAGGCAGCUCACUAAACUUUGACUGACGCUCAUGCACGAAAGCGUGGGGAUCAAACA